Molecule: ribosomal RNA, 118 nt
Filed under: Lepisosteus oculatus (spotted gar)
Lineage: Eukaryota; Metazoa; Chordata; Actinopteri; Semionotiformes; Lepisosteidae
Source: RNAcentral
GCCAGCAGCCAUAUCACUCUAUAACUCCCAGCUGGCCGCCCACUGAAGCUCAGCAGGUGUGAGCCUGGCCAGUACCUGGAUGGGAGACUCCUGGGAGAAACUAAGGCUGCUGCUGGAA